RNAcentral lists this ribosomal RNA (435 nucleotides) under uncultured Alphaproteobacteria bacterium. RNAcentral describes it as "bacterial SSU rRNA". It matches the Rfam family "Bacterial small subunit ribosomal RNA", at positions 38 to 521 of the family's 1533-position model. Lineage: Bacteria; Pseudomonadati; Pseudomonadota; Alphaproteobacteria. The record is from RNAcentral.
GGCGGCAGGCUUAACACAUGCAAGUCGAGCGCCCCGCAAGGGGAGCGGCAGACGGGAGAGUAACACGUGGGAACGUACCCUUCGGUUCGGAACAACCCAGGGAAACUUGGGCUAAUACCGGAUACGUCCGUAAGGAGAAAGAUUCAUCGCCGAGGGAUCGGCCCGCGUCUGAUUAGCUAGUUGGUGGGGUAACGGCUCACCAAGGCGACGAUCAGUAGCUGGUCUGAGAGGAUGAUCAGCCUCACUGGGACUGAGACACGGCCCAGACUCCUACUGGAGGCAGCAGUGGGGAAUAUUGGACAAUGGGCGCAAGCCUGAUCCANCCAUGCCGCGUGGGUGAUGAAGGCCCUAGGGUUGUNAAGCCCUUUCGGCGGGGAAGAUAAUGACGGUACCGCNAGAAUAAGCCCCGGCUAACUUCGUGCCAGCAGCCGCGGU